Molecule: long non-coding RNA, 298 nt
Organism: Prionailurus viverrinus (fishing cat)
Lineage: Eukaryota; Metazoa; Chordata; Mammalia; Carnivora; Felidae
Exons: 2
Source: RefSeq, a predicted model, not a curated record
CUUCCAAUCUGUGGCCUCAGGGCAAACAGGUGAUCAGGAGUGCGUGUGUGCGCGCGCGCGUGUGUGUUCAGCAUUUGCACAGCUGGCUGGCAUGGAAGAUAGACACUGUUACAAAUUCUUUACCACAAAAGAGGAACGCUGCACAGAGGUGGUCAAGAACCCAGAUACAGGAAAGCACCCAGCACAUGUACAACCCCAUCGUCCCCGAAGCUGCCUUGGCUAUGGGACUUCUUUGGCUGGUGGGAAGUUGCUGAGGGAACGGGGGAACGGGCUACUUCCAUACAGAGUUGUAACAGCC